Molecule: long non-coding RNA, 356 nt
Filed under: Capsicum annuum
Lineage: Eukaryota; Viridiplantae; Streptophyta; Magnoliopsida; Solanales; Solanaceae
Description: long non-coding RNA (CANN_LNC016002)
Source: RNAcentral
AUGGGAAAGGUAUGUCAGCCUUUUGAAGAAGAGGACUGUUGGGUUUUGGCGGUUGUAAUCAUGAUAGAGUGAACCAUGUAGAUAACCUGUUUCUCUUAAUGCUACUAUGGAAAACAAUAAUCAUACCUUGUGUUCUGAUUAUUCCAUGACCACUCGUGCCUUAAUGAUCCUGUUGAUCUGCAAAAAACAACACAUAAUUAUACCACCUUGCUUUAAAAUCUUGGAAUUAGGAUACACAACUAAAUGUGUAAGACUGAAUUAAUCAACACUUACUAAGGCAUAGCAUAUUCUAGUGAAUCAUUGAGGGAGAUUUAUACAAUUUUAAUCAUCCCCAAUGCUAACCUAUUUUUUUCAAA